UACAGAGGUCUCAAGCGUUGUUCGGAUUCAUUUGGGCGUAAAGGGUGCGUGAGGUGGACGCUGUAAGUCGGGUGUGAAAUUUCGAGGCUUAACCUCGAAACUGCAUUCGAUACUGCGGUGCUUGAGGACUGGAGAGGAGACUGGAAUUCAUGGUGUAGCAGUGAAAUGCGUAGAGAUCAAUGAGGAAGACCAGUGGCGAAGGCGGGUCGCUGGUACGUGAACUGGACGCUGGAGACGCGAAAGCGUGGGGAGCGAACAGGA
Molecule: ribosomal RNA, 261 nt
Filed under: uncultured bacterium
Lineage: Bacteria
Description: partial 16S ribosomal RNA
Rfam family: Bacterial small subunit ribosomal RNA
Source: RNAcentral